GACGAACGCUGGCGGCGUGCUUAACACAUGCAAGUCGAACGAAGUGGCGAACGGGUGAGUAACGCGUAAUCAACCUGCCCUUCAGAGGGGGACAACAGUUGGAAACGACUGCUAAUACCGCAUACGGAAGGAGGGGUUUGCGUCUGAUUAGUUAGUUGGGGGGGGAACGGCCCACCAAGGCGAAGAGCAGUAGGCGGUCUGGGAGGGUGAACGGCCACCGUGGGACUGGGACACGGGCCAGACUCCUACGGGAGGCAGGAGGUGGGAAUCUUCCGCAAUGGAGGAAAGUCUGACGGAGCAACGCCGCGUGGGUGAUGACGGGCUUCGGGUUGUAAAGCUCUGUUAAUCGGGACGCGGUACCGGAAUAGAAAGCCACGGCUAACUACGUGCCAGCAGCCGCGGUAAUAC
Molecule: ribosomal RNA, 408 nt
Filed under: uncultured bacterium
Lineage: Bacteria
Description: partial 16S ribosomal RNA
Rfam family: Bacterial small subunit ribosomal RNA
Source: RNAcentral